GCUUAUGUCUGAGCGGCUUUAUAGGUGUGUAAUGAGCAACUAUAAAUCUGAACUGUCUCAUAGUCAAGACUCUUAUAAGGAAAGAAGGAAUGUUGUGUUAAGAAAAUCCAUCGGCUGCUGAAGAUGACUGGAUAUAUUCGGUACAUACGCCAUUUCCAGCGGAUUACCAACAAAACCGUUGAUUUGCAAUGCCGGUCGCACUACCCACAAAACCACAAUGGGACAUUGAAAAUGCGCCGCCAAGCCCAUCUGGAAGUCGUUCAUGACAUAAGCGAAGAGCAAUAGAUCAAAUGCGUUCGCACGAUUUUCAUUUAAAAACUCACGCAUUUUCGGCUGCCACAACGUCUCAUUUGCCAUACGCAGAUAUUCUGCGGUUGUGACAAAUAAGCUCUUUACAAACGAGUGCCGAGUAUUAAUCAGACUGUUUAGCGCUUUGUCAUCUAUAAUACCGCCAUCCGGCAGCUGCAGGUGUAUAUAUUUGUACGCGGCAUUCGGAUAAACAUUUUCGAUAAUACCAAUCACGGUGACAUCGUGUCCGACGCGCGCCAACUGUUCCGCGACGGUGCAAUGGAGCAGCAUAUGGGAUUUGGAAUAGGUGGCGAAGAGCCCGAGUAUGCGCGAACCGGCUGCUAUGGAACAGGUUUAUGCCACCAUUAACUGUUGGCUCGGCCAAACAACGUUCGCCAGACUCCAUUAGAAGUUGGAUAACGUUGCCGUCUGGACACAUUUGCCUUCGUCAUCGCCAGUGCUUUGCCUUUGCUGUUGCGUUGACGCGGCGCGGCGCCGGGGAGAAAACCAUUUAAUGCACUUCAUUUGGCACGGAGACGCGUCGAGCGGCAGUUGGCGCUGCGAUAAUGCACAUGGGCGGAACUGGAAGCUGGAAGCGAGCAGAAGCAUGCUAAUACGAACAGAAAGUCUGCUGGAGAAAUAUGUGGCUACAAACAACAUCUAUGAAUAUGUGAGUAUAUAGAGACAUUUAGAAAUGUCAACAGCAGCACGUUAAUUGUGAAGAUGAAGAAAUUCAAAAAAAUGCAAUUUUUGAUUUUGAACAUGAUUUUAAUACAUAUACGCCAUAAAAAACUCAAAUAAAAAUAACUUUAGUUAAAAAAAUUUAAUUGAAACAAAAAACUUAAAAUUUAUUAUUAAGAAAAUAAUUAUCAAA
Long non-coding RNA from Bactrocera dorsalis (oriental fruit fly), 1162 nucleotides. RefSeq lists it as uncharacterized. NCBI's taxonomy places the organism in Eukaryota, Metazoa, Arthropoda, Insecta, Diptera, Tephritidae. The record is from RefSeq and is a predicted model, not a curated record. The transcript is spliced from 3 exons.